UCCCUGUAGUGCAAUGAAUAGCGCGUUGGACUUCUUAUCCAAAUGUCGUGGUUUCGAUUCCUACCUGGGUGGCUUAA
Non-coding RNA from Trichonephila clavata, 77 nucleotides. Lineage: Eukaryota; Metazoa; Arthropoda; Arachnida; Araneae; Nephilidae. The record is from the annotation of a GenBank genome assembly.